This is a non-coding RNA of Potamilus streckersoni, 73 nucleotides long. The record is from the annotation of a GenBank genome assembly. Lineage: Eukaryota; Metazoa; Mollusca; Bivalvia; Unionida; Unionidae.
AUUCCGGUGGCCUUGUGGUUAGAGCAUCCGCCUCGGAUGCGGGAGGUCGCAGGUUCGAACCCCGGUCGAAAAA